GUUCAUGAUGAUCAAUUUUUUAUCAAUAUACGCUGGAAAUUACCGGCUGAGAUUUCUCAUUGAAGAUAUUUAAUGGCUAUAUCUGACU
RNAcentral lists this small nucleolar RNA (88 nucleotides) under Metarhizium album ARSEF 1941. RNAcentral describes it as "A. fumigatus snoRNA Afu_300". It matches the Rfam family "A. fumigatus snoRNA Afu_300". The record is from Rfam by way of RNAcentral. Lineage: Eukaryota; Fungi; Ascomycota; Sordariomycetes; Hypocreales; Clavicipitaceae.